GGGCUGCGGAGUACACUCCCAACCCCUGUGACAUACCUAUACGUUGCCUCGGCGGAUCAGCCCGCGCCCCGUAAAACGGGACGGCCCGCCCGAGGACCCCUAAACUCUGUUUUUAGUGGAACUUCUGAGUAAAACAAACAAAUAAAUCAAAACUUUCAACAACGGAUCUCUUGGUUCUGGCAUCGAUGAAGAACGCAGCAAAAUGCGAUAAGUAAUGUGAAUUGCAGAAUUCAGUGAAUCAUCGAAUCUUUGAACGCACAUUGCGCCCGCCAGUAUUCUGGCGGGCAUGCCUGUUCGAGCGUCAUUUCAACCCUCAAGCUCAGCUUGGUGUUGGGACUCGCGGUAACCCGCGUUCCCCAAAUCGAUUGGCGGUCACGUCGAGCUUCCAUAGCGUAGUAAUCAUACACCUCGUUACUGGUAAUCGUCGCGGCCACGCCGUAAAACCCCAACUUCUGAAUGUUGACCUCGGAUCAGGUAGGAAUACCCGCUGAACUUAAGCAUAUCAAUAAGCGGAGGGAA
RNAcentral lists this ribosomal RNA (519 nucleotides) under Fusarium chlamydosporum. RNAcentral describes it as "eukaryotic LSU rRNA". The stretch from base 151 to 304 matches the Rfam family "5.8S ribosomal RNA". Lineage: Eukaryota; Fungi; Ascomycota; Sordariomycetes; Hypocreales; Nectriaceae. The record is from RNAcentral.